GUAGUCUGCAACCCGACUACAUGAAGCCGGAAUCGCUAGUAAUCGCGGAUCAGAAUGCCGCGGUGAAUACGUUCCCGGGUCUUGUACACACCGCCCGUCACACCAUGGGAGUUGGAAAUGCCCGAAGUCAGUGGCCCAACCGGAAGGGGGGAGCUGCCGAAGGCAGGUUCGAUGACUGGGGUGAAGUCGUAACAAGGUAAC
This 201-nucleotide ribosomal RNA is filed under the name uncultured bacterium. RNAcentral's name for it is "partial 16S ribosomal RNA". It matches the Rfam family "Bacterial small subunit ribosomal RNA", at positions 1300 to 1500 of the family's 1533-position model. The record is from RNAcentral.